RNAcentral lists this ribosomal RNA (121 nucleotides) under Klebsiella pneumoniae. Its description in RNAcentral is "partial 16S ribosomal RNA". It matches the Rfam family "Bacterial small subunit ribosomal RNA", at positions 1 to 112 of the family's 1533-position model. RNAcentral also lists the same sequence under 1 other name. Lineage: Bacteria; Pseudomonadati; Pseudomonadota; Gammaproteobacteria; Enterobacterales; Enterobacteriaceae. The record is from RNAcentral.
ACUUAAAUUGAAGAGUUUGAUCAUGGCUCAGAUUGAACGCUGGCGGCAGGCCUAACACAUGCAAGUCGAGCGGUAGCACAGAGAGCUUGCUCUCGGGUGACGAGCGGCGGACGGGUGAGUA